UCAAGAGAGAUUUACAUCUUGACCUCUUCAGUCGCUCACUUAAUGGCUUUUCUGUCUGACUGUGUCGUCUUUGUGUUUUUGGGACAAGCACACAAUGAACACACAGGUGGGUUGACCAUUUCUUGGACAAAUCUUCUGGGACUGAAUCACUUUAUCCAGUGUUUGUUUUUGGCUGUUGUCUUGUGAUUGAGGGGACGCUGAAUUAGACGCUGCUAUUCUAUUGACAAAUUGCCACAUAGAAAGACAUACAACAUUAUGAUUUGAUAAAAAGAGAUGAUAUCGAAGGUUAUGCUCUUAUCUGUUGUUAACAAAGAGAUGAUAUCGAAGGUUAUGCUCUUAUCUGUUGUUAACAAAGAGAUGAUAUCGAAGGUUAUGCUCUUAUCUGUUGUUAACAAAGAGAUGAUAUCGAAGGUUAUGCUCUUAUCUGUUGUUAACAAAAGAGAUGAUAUCGAAGGUUAUGCUCUUAUCUGUUGUUAACAAAGAGAUGAUAUCGAAGGUUAUGCUCUUAUCUGUUGUUAACAAAAGAGAUGAUAUCGAAGGUUAUGCUCUUAUCUGUUGUUAACAAAAGAGAUGAUAUCGAAGGUUAUGCUCUUAUCUGUUGUUAACAAAAGAGAUGAUAUCGAAGGUUAUGCUCUUAUCUGUUGUUAACAAAGAGAUGAUAUCGAAGGUUAUGCUCUUAUCUGUUGUUAACAAAGAGAUGAUAUCGAAGGUUAUGCUCUUAUCUGUUGUUAACAAAAGAGAUGAUAUCGAAGGUUAUGCUCUUAUCUGUUGUUAACAAAAGAGAUGAUAUCGAAGGUUAUGCUCUUAUCUGUUGUUAACAAAGAGAUGAUAUCGAAGGUUAUGCUCUUAUCUGUUGUUAACAAAAGAGAUGAUAUCGAAGGUUAUGCUCUUAUCUGUUGUUAACAAAAGAGAUGAUAUCGAAGGUUAUGCUCUUAUCUGUUGUUAACAAAAGAGAUGAUAUCGAAGGUUAUGCUCUUAUCUGUUGUUAACAAAGAGAUGAUAUCGAAGGUUAUGCUCUUAUCUGUUGUUAACAAAAGAGAUGAUAUCGAAGGUUAUGCUCUUAUCUGUUGUUAACAAAGAGAUGAUAUCGAAGGUUAUGCUCUUAUCUGUUGUUAACAAAGAGAUGAUAUCGAAGGUUAUGCUCUUAUCUGUUGUUAACAAAGAGAUGAUAUCGAAGGUUAUGCUCUUAUCUGUUGUUAACAAAGAGAUGAUAUCGAAGGUUAUGCUCUUAUCUGUUGUUAACAAAAGAGAUGAUAUCGAAGGUUAUGCUCUUAUCUGUUAUUAACAAAAGCACCGGAAGUUCUUUGGGGUUCCAGGGUUCACUUCCGCUCCUCUUCAAAACGCUGUUAAAAACAUGUAUUUCAAAGGUUAUGGUCUCUUAACAAGCAAUUCAACACUUCCGAAUAGAAGAAGGUCGUUACACAGAAUCUAUUGCUUAAUCUCGUGAGUUAUUAGUUAUUUAUCACCCGAGAAUUGUGCUAUCCAGACAAAAUACUAGAUAGGUGAUUGGCUUUGUAUCUUUAAACAGGAAAAACGAAUUUCUGUGUUAUCUGUUGUCAUUCCUCUUCCAUAUA
Long non-coding RNA from Oncorhynchus keta (chum salmon), 1574 nucleotides. RefSeq lists it as uncharacterized. The transcript is spliced from 4 exons. NCBI's taxonomy places the organism in Eukaryota, Metazoa, Chordata, Actinopteri, Salmoniformes, Salmonidae. The record is from RefSeq and is a predicted model, not a curated record.